Molecule: ribosomal RNA, 253 nt
Filed under: uncultured prokaryote
Description: partial 16S ribosomal RNA
Rfam family: Bacterial small subunit ribosomal RNA
Source: RNAcentral
UACGUAGGGACCAAGCGUUGUUCGGAUUUACUGGGCGUAAAGGGCGCGUAGGCGGCUUGGCAAGUGAAAGGUGAAAUCCCUCGGCUCAACUGAGGAACUGCCUUUCAGACUGCUUUGCUUGAGGCCGGGAGAGGCGAGUGGAAUUCCCAGUGUAGCGGUGAAAUGCGUAGAUAUUGGGAGGAACACCAGUGGCGAAGGCGGCUCGCUGGACCGGUUCUGACGCUGAGGCGCGAAAGCGUGGGGAGCAAACGGG